Molecule: long non-coding RNA, 2380 nt
Filed under: Homo sapiens (human)
Lineage: Eukaryota; Metazoa; Chordata; Mammalia; Primates; Hominidae
Description: HSALNT0346286
Source: RNAcentral
GGUCCCCAUGAUUAAGGGACCAGCAGAUUCCACAUCUGGUGAAGGCUGACCUCCUGGAUGUCUUCUCCCUGUGUCCUCAUUUGGCAGAAGAAGGGAGAGGGAGCUGUCUGGGGUCUCUUUUAUAAGGGCGCUGACCCCAGGAAGAACCCUCAUGACCUAAUCACCUCCCAAAGGCCCCACUUCUUAAUAUUCUCACAUUGGAGUUUAGGUUUUAACCUAUGAAUUUUGGGGGGAUAUAAACAGUCAGUCUGUAGCAGUGAUUUAUCAUUUGUUCAGAAAAUAAUGUAAAACAAAUAUAUUCUGCUCAGUGUCUAUGCCUUGGCCAAAGGAAACAGAAAACACAUAAGAUAUUCCUAUAUCAUACAUGAUGAGGUACAGGGAAGACCGGUAAGGAUAAACUCGCUCUUGCUUGUCAUAGUUCUAUAAAAUAAUACAACAAAAUAACUUGACUAAUUGAGCCCAUAAGAAAACAAUUUCUAAAAAUAUUUUGUGUGUGUGCUAGAAAUCGUCACUAGCACCAGUUAGUGUUGAAGCCAAAGAACAAUGAUUAAUUCACUUAUAGGAUUUGGGUCAGUUAUUAUUUAUUAUUGUUAUUAUUUAUCCUUAGAAUUGGGCAAAUAUUGGAGUUAUACAAUCAUAUUAUUUCAAGGAAAUCUCCCCAAAGAAAAUAAUAACCUUCAUCAAUAUGUAAAUCCAUUCUACUUGGCCUUUGUGAAAUCUAAAUAUUGACUCCCUCCUUCUUCAACGUUUUUGUCCACAUCAGUCAUCUUUAAAAAUGCAACUGCCUAAUUUCUAGAAAGUCAGUAUCACAGCUCAAGUCAUUACGGCAGAAGGAAGGGUAGUCUCAGUCCUGUUUUUAGGAUAAUUAGGACAUCAUCCACGGGGCAGGCUUGAGUCUUUUGGUUCGGGAAUUUUCUGCCCUGAGAAAAGACAUCAUUGAGAUACAGGUAGAGUGUUCCUUAUCCAAAAUGCUUAGGACCAGAAGUGUUUCAGAUUUUAGAUUUUGGAAUAUUUGCAUAUACAUAAUGAGAUAGCUUGGGGAUGGGACCCAAGUCUAAACAUGAGAUUCAUUAUGUUUCAUAUACACCUUCUACACAUAGCCUGAAGGUAAUUUUAAACAGCAGUUGUAAUAAUUUUGUGCAUGAAACAAAGUUUUGACUGUGUUUUGACUGUGACUGGCCACAUGAAAUUAGGUGUGGAAUUUUCCACUGUGGUGUCAUGUUGACAAGCAAAACGUUUUGGAUUUUAGAUUGUUGGAUUAGGGAUGCUCAACCUGUGUAGAUUUAUCAUUUUUAAAAAUGCUUCCAUCUUUGAAGGAACUUUCAUGUAAUCCUGUUCAGAAGAAUGUAGAACGAAAUUUAAGGCAGGUUCUUCCCAUACCUUCAUCUAAGGAAGCUUAGAUGCUGAAAUCCCCCAGAGGAGGUUGUAAUGUGAGGGUGGAGAUGAGGCUGCUGUUACAAAGGGGCCCAGUGACACAGUCUGAUAAAGAAGAUAGACUCUGGAGGCUGAGACAGGAGAAUUGCUUGAACCCGGGAGGCAGAGGUUGCAGUGAGCCGAGAUCACGCCACUGCACUUCAGCCUGGGCAACAGAGUGAGACUCCAUCUCAAAAAAAAAAAAAAAAGAGAAGAUAGACUUUUCUCUCUCAUGGAACAGUCCUCAGGCAGCAAUUAGUCUAGGGCCGCAGGCUGCUCUGCUCCCCAGUCAGCCUGGUGCGGGUUCUGUCUGUUCUGUGGCUCUAUCCUGUCCAGAGUGUGGUCCUCACACAGCAGAAGUUGUGACACGCAGUUCACAACUUUUCGGCCGGGAGAGGCUGGACAUGCAGUUUUCUUUUUAAAGACAUUGGCCCAGGGGCCAGGCACAAUAGCUCAUGUCUAUAAUCCCACUGCUUCUGUAGGCCAAGGGGUGAGAAUUGCUUGAGUCCAGGAAUUUGAGACCAGCCUGGGCAACACAGCAAGACCCUGUUUCUACAAACAAAACAAAACAAAACAAAAAACAUUAGCUGGACAUGGUGGUGUGCACCUGGAUUUCCAGCUACUCAAGAGGCUGAGGUGGGAGGAUUGCUAGAGCCCAGGAGCUCGAGGCUAUAGUGAGAUAUGAUUACACUACUGCAUUUCAGCCUGGACAAUAGAGCAAAACUCUGUCUCUAAAAGAGAAAAAAAAGACACUGCCCCAAAUUUGCACUUACCCCUUGUGCUCACAUCCCAUGGGUGAGAACUGAGUCACAGGCCACACCUAGUUGUAGAGAAGGAAACGUGGCCUCUUGCUGUGUGACCAUGUGCUCAGCAAAAAUUCAGAGGGUUCUUUUGCUAGAAGAAAUAAGGAAAUGAUGGAUACAGAUGGAUACAGGAUGUGGGGUGAGGGAAUUAGGCUCUACCAUGG